ACAGAAGAAGGGGAUUAUCAGGUAAAACUACGCAACCUGAUACGUUUCCUAGAAAGCGGGAACAAAACUAAAGUCAGCCUCCGAUUUCGUGGACGUGAAAUGGCGCAUCAGGACUUGGGUCUUAAGCUACUCGAACGAGUUGCAGAAGAUCUUAAAGACCUGUCUAGUGUUGAACAACGACCUAAGAAAGAAGGGCGUCAAAUGAUUAUGGUUUUGGCUCCUAACAGUAAAAAAUAACUAUAUAAACUUUCAAUGCGGAGUUGUUAAUUCAAUGCCUAAAUUAAAAAACCAUAGUGGUGCUGCUAA
RNAcentral lists this unclassified non-coding RNA (306 nucleotides) under Methylophaga sulfidovorans. RNAcentral's name for it is "Long range pseudoknot". Lineage: Bacteria; Pseudomonadati; Pseudomonadota; Gammaproteobacteria; Thiotrichales; Piscirickettsiaceae. The record is from RNAcentral.